AGUAGAAUCAGCUAAAUAAGCUUCUGGGCCCAUACCCCAGAGAUGUUGGUUAAAAUCCCUCUUCUACUG
This 69-nucleotide transfer RNA is filed under the name Stegastes flavilatus (beaubrummel damselfish). RNAcentral's name for it is "tRNA-Met". It matches the Rfam family "tRNA". Rfam says of the family: Transfer RNA (tRNA) molecules are approximately 80 nucleotides in length. Their secondary structure includes four short double-helical elements and three loops (D, anti-codon, and T loops). The record is from RNAcentral. Lineage: Eukaryota; Metazoa; Chordata; Actinopteri; Pomacentridae.